GUUGUGCUGUCAUAUACCUCAGCGUAUUCGAUUUACGGUCACCAUAGCAAACGUGUUACCCGUCCCUUCCCUGCUGCUACGAACUACGGAUUAAUAAAAAUAUAAAUUCAAGGCAAAAACCUCUCUGCGAAGUUGAAAACUGAUGACGUGAGGACGACGUGUGAUUUAGAGGGACUUUAUAUGAUGACCAAAAACAGGAUAAUGCAUCCCACGUUGGCUGAACACCUCUUCGUGGGUCGAUGGAAUCCUAAGAGACGCACAAUGCCAUCUACCCUACAAAACAUCGCUCAGAAACACCCAUUUGUCCCAUAACGAAGAGUCAAAACAUCAUACACCAUUGGAGCCCAGGCGAGUAAAGACAGCUCAAAAUUCGCAAGGCAUCAAAUAUUGCAACGCUGGCGGAUAACACCGAGGAAAUUUGAUAUAUUUAUGAUAUUUGGCUUUUAAUUUUUGAUGUGUAACCAAGGAUCGAUUGCUGA
Long non-coding RNA from Zootermopsis nevadensis, 479 nucleotides. RefSeq lists it as uncharacterized. NCBI's taxonomy places the organism in Eukaryota, Metazoa, Arthropoda, Insecta, Blattodea, Termopsidae. The record is from RefSeq and is a predicted model, not a curated record.